This 492-nucleotide ribosomal RNA is filed under the name uncultured bacterium. Its description in RNAcentral is "partial 16S ribosomal RNA". It matches the Rfam family "Bacterial small subunit ribosomal RNA", at positions 29 to 507 of the family's 1533-position model. The record is from RNAcentral.
AGUGAACGCUGGCGGUAGGCCUAACACAUGCAAGUCGAACGGCAGCACAGUAAGAGCUUGCUCUUACGGGUGGCGAGUGGCGGACGGGUGAGGAAUACAUCGGAAUCUACUUUUUCGUGGGGGAUAACGUAGGGAAACUUACGCUAAUACCGCAUACGACCUACGGGUGAAAGCAGGGGAUCUUCGGACCUUGCGCGAUUGAAUGAGCCGAUGUCGGAUUAGCUAGUUGGCGGGGUAAAGGCCCACCAAGGCGACGAUCCGUAGCAGGUCUGAGAGGAUGAUCAGCCAAACUGGAACUGAGACACGGUCCAGACUCCUACGGGAGGCAGCAGUGGGGAAUAUUGGACAAUGGGCGCAAGCCUGAUCCAGCCAUACCGCGUGGGUGAAGAAGGCCUUCGGGUUGUAAAGCCCUUUUGUUGGGAAAGAAAAGCAGCAGGUUAAUACCCCGCUGUUCUGACGGUACCCAAAGAAUAAGCACCGGCUAACUUCGUG